ACUACCGCAGUUUAAGAAAACAUCAGCCUUGUAAGCUGAAGAAUGGGGAUUUAAAAUCUCCCGAUAGUC
Molecule: transfer RNA, 69 nt
Filed under: Plethodon elongatus (Del Norte salamander)
Lineage: Eukaryota; Metazoa; Chordata; Amphibia; Caudata; Plethodontidae
Description: tRNA-Thr
Rfam family: tRNA
About the family: Transfer RNA (tRNA) molecules are approximately 80 nucleotides in length. Their secondary structure includes four short double-helical elements and three loops (D, anti-codon, and T loops). Further hydrogen bonds mediate the characteristic L-shaped molecular structure. tRNAs have two regions of fundamental functional importance: the anti-codon, which is responsible for specific mRNA codon recognition, and the 3' end, to which the tRNAs corresponding amino acid is attached (by aminoacyl-tRNA synthetases). tRNAs cope with the degeneracy of the genetic code in two manners: having more than one tRNA (with a specific anti-codon) for a particular amino acid; and 'wobble' base-pairing, i.e. permitting non-standard base-pairing at the 3rd anti-codon position.
Source: RNAcentral